UACGGAGGGUGCAAGCGUUAUCCGGAUUCACUGGGUUUAAAGGGUGCGUAGGCGGCCUAUUAAGUCAGGGGUGAAAGACGGUAGCUUAACUAUCGCAGUGCCUUUGAUACUGAUGGGCUUGAAUAUACUUGAGGUAGGCGGAAUGUGACAAGUAGCGGUGAAAUGCAUAGAUAUGUCACAGAACACCAAUUGCGAAGGCAGCUUACUAAAGUAUGAUUGACGCUGAGGCACGAAAGCGUGGGGAUCAAACAGG
This 253-nucleotide ribosomal RNA is filed under the name uncultured bacterium. Its description in RNAcentral is "partial 16S ribosomal RNA". It matches the Rfam family "Bacterial small subunit ribosomal RNA", at positions 524 to 776 of the family's 1533-position model. The record is from RNAcentral.